Molecule: RNA transcript, 8379 nt
Organism: Scaptodrosophila lebanonensis
Lineage: Eukaryota; Metazoa; Arthropoda; Insecta; Diptera; Drosophilidae
Gene: rdgB
Gene name: protein retinal degeneration B
Exons: 14
Source: RefSeq, a predicted model, not a curated record
AGCGUCGCUCGCUUGCGCCAAAGUCUAGUGUUUUGCUCUGCGAUUGCAAAAAAAAACUAGCAAGCAGAAGAAAUAAUAAAAUAACAUUCUUCACACGAAAAAUUUGAGAUAUAAAUCUCAAAAUUAAGGAGGAAUAGCGGGCUAACAAUAAGCAGCCGUGAAUGAAGCGUUUCACUUAGUUAAUUUUUUUAAUUGUGCGUGCAGCGUCUGCCUAUGUAUGUACAUAUAUGUAUGUGUGUGUGUGUAAUAAACAAAACAAAAAACAACAGCAUUCGGCCCAAGCUCUGGCUAUUGAACAAAAUGUCAUAGACGUGCGUUGCGAACGCCAGCGACGCCAUAGCCAUGAUCUCCAGCAGCAAUCGAUGAAUGCCUAAGCAUCAGUGAGAGCAGCAGCAGCAGCACCAACAGAAGAGCCGUGCCGAGGAAGCCAGGACACCAAAGACGCAGCCAAGGGAUUUUCUGGGAUAUUCUGGGGCACUCAAAAUGUUGAUCAAGGAGUAUCGCAUUCCAUUGCCGCUCACCGUAGAGGAGUAUCGAAUAGCACAGUUGUAUAUGAUAGCGAAAAAGAGCCGUGAGGAGAGCCAUGGCGAGGGCAGCGGCGUCGAGAUCAUUAUUAACGAGCCAUAUAAGGAUGGACCCGGCGGCAACGGACAAUACACAAAAAAGAUUUAUCAUGUGGGCAGCCAUUUGCCAGGCUGGAUAAAGAGUCUGUUGCCAAAGAGUGCGUUGACUGUGGAGGAGGAAGCCUGGAAUGCCUAUCCAUACACACGCACACGCUACACUUGCCCCUUUGUGGAGAAAUUCUCACUAGACAUAGAGACCUAUUACUACCCAGACAAUGGCUACCAGGAUAAUGUGUUCCAGUUAUCGGGCAGUGAUUUGCGCAAUCGUGUUGUGGACGUAAUUGAUAUUGUCAAGGAUCAGUUGUGGGGCGGCGACUACGUCAAGGAGGAGGAUCCGAAACUAUUCGUCUCCGAUAAAACAGGCCGUGGCCCGCUGGUCGAUGAUUGGAUCGAGGAAUAUUGGCGUGAGGUCAAGGGCAAGAAGCAACCGACUGCCCGCAAUAUGUCUCUGAUGACGGCCUACAAAAUCUGUCGUGUUGAAUUCCGGUAUUGGGGCAUGCAAACGAAACUGGAGAAGUUCAUACACGAUGUGGCGUUACGCAAGACGAUGUUGCGCGCCCAUAGACAAGCAUGGGCCUGGCAGGACGAAUGGCAUGGCCUGACCAUCGAAGAUAUACGCGAGCUGGAGCGUCAGACCCAAUUGGCGUUGGCCAAAAAGAUGGGUAGUGGUGAGGAGGGAAGCGAUGCGGACAGCAACUCGGAACCGUAUGUAAGUACGGCUGCCGCGACACCAGCAUCGACGACAAUGUCGGAGCGUAAAAAAUCGGCAGCGGCCGUUCCACCCAUUGUUACCCAACAGCCGCCCAGUGCCGAAGGCAGCUCUGACGAAGAGGAAGAAGACGAAGACGAACAUGGCGAUGAGUUGGGCGCCCAAAGCAAUGCCCAGCGCUCCCGUUCGCAGAGCAUACAAAUGGCCAACAAGGCCAAGUUUGGCUCCAAGGGUGCACUCCACUCGCCCGUGGGUUCGGCCCACAGUUUUGAUCUGCAACAAAAAAAGCCGCAUGCCAAGAAUGCACCGCGCCUAAAUACACUUUGCUUUGCUGUGCUUUCGCAGGUGGCCAAUUGGCGAAUGGAGCGUCUUGAGGUGGACUCCAAGUCCAAUUCUGAUGAGGAGUUCUUUGAUUGCCUGGACACCAACGAGACGAACUCUCUAGCCAAGUGGAGCUCACUGGAGCUACUGGGCGAAGGGGAUGACAGUCCACCACCGCAUGGCGGCCCUUCCAGUGGUGGGCGCGCCAAACAAGAUGAUAGCAUUUUCAAUCAGGACUUCCUAAUGCGUGUGGCCUCCGAGCGUGGCAAUAAGCGUCAGUUGCGCUCCUCGGCCAGCGUUGAUCGCAGUCACGACUCCUCGCCGCCGGGCUCGCCAAGUACCCCCUCCUGUCCCACCACAAUUCUGGUACUAGUCGUGCACGCAGGCAGCGUGCUUGAUGCUGCCAGCGAAUUGACCGCCAAAAAGUCAGAUGUUACCACCUUUCGGGGCUCCUUUGAGGGUGUUAUGCGUCAGCACUAUCCCAGCCUGUUAACCCAUGUCACCAUCAAAAUGGUGCCAUGCCCCUCCAUAUGCACCGACGCCUUGGGCAUACUGUCCAGUCUGAGUCCCUAUUCAUUCGAUGCAUCGCCCUCGGCGGAUAUACCCAAUAUUGCUGAUGUGCCCAUUGGGGCCAUACCAUUGUUGUCCGUGGCCUCGCCCGAGUUUCAGGAGACGGUGAACAAGACGGUGGCGGCGGCCAAUAUUGUGUACCAUGAGUUCCUUAAGUCGGAGGAGGGUCACGGCUUCUCCGGCCAGAUUGUUAUGCUUGGCGAUUCCAUGGGCUCGCUGCUGGCCUAUGAGGCGCUAUGUCGGGCCAAUGGCACCACGGCCGGCAGUAGUGGUGGUCAGUCGCAUUUCGCUGGCGGUGUCGGCUCCUCAGCCAGCGGUGGCGGUGAUGUCAACAGUCGCUCGUCACGUGCUGACGAUGAUGAACGCUUCAUUGACUCAGAUCUGGAUGCGAAGCGUCUAUUGGUGGCCCCAUCACCACGUCGCCGUCGCUCUUCAUCAUCCAGCGAUUCACGGGCCAUCAAGUUGGACUUUGAGGUGUGCGAUUUCUUUAUGUUUGGCUCCCCGCUCUCGGUGGUGUUGGCUGCGCGUAAGCUGCACGAUGCAAAGGCGGCGUUGGCUCGUCCCAACUGCCAUCAGGUUUACAAUCUGUUCCAUCCUACCGAUCCGAUUGCUUCGCGUCUGGAGCCGCUGCUCAGUGCACGGUUCUCAAUCUUGGCGCCGGUCAAUGUGCCGCGCUAUGCAAAAUAUCCGCUGGGCAAUGGCCAGCCACUGCAUUUAUUGGAGGUCAUACAGUCGCAUCCGCAGCAUUUCAACGAUGGCAACAAUCUGCUCGCUGGCCGUCGCCUUUCGGACGCAUCCAUGCAAAGUACAAUCUCUGGCCUCAUUGAGAAUGUGUCGCUAAGUACUAUACAGUCCCUCCAAAGCAAGUGGUGGGGCACCAAACGACUCGACUAUGCGCUCUAUUGCCCCGAAGGUCUGAGCAAUUUUCCCGCCCAUGCCCUGCCGCAUCUGUUUCAUGCCAGCUACUGGGAGAGUCCCGAUGUUAUCGCCUUCAUAUUGCGCCAAAUUGGCAAAUUCGAGGGCAUACCAUUUGUGGGCUCCAACGACGACAAGGACGCCGCCUCGUUCCAUCCGGGACAGCCGCGUGAGAAAUGGAUUAAGAAGCGAACUUCGGUCAAGUUAAAGAAUGUAGCGGCCAAUCAUCGUGCAAACGAUGUGAUCGUACAGGAGGGACGUGAACAGCGUCUUAAUGCUCGCUUCAUGUAUGGCCCCCUCGAUAUGAUCACGCUGCAUGGCGAGAAGGUGGACGUGCAUAUUAUGAAGGAUCCGCCGGCGGGCGAAUGGACUUUCCUUAGCACCGAAGUAACAGACAAGAAUGGACGCAUCAGCUACAGCAUACCCGAUCAUCUAUCGCUGGGCUAUGGCAUCUAUCCUGUAAAGAUGGUGGUGCGUGGCGAUCACACCUCGGUCGAUUGUUACAUGGCCGUUGUGCCACCACUCACAGAAUGUGUGGUGUUCAGCAUAGAUGGUUCGUUUACUGCCUCCAUGUCGGUGACCGGUCGUGAUCCGAAGGUGCGUGCCGGCGCUGUGGAUGUCUGCCGUCACUGGCAGGAACUUGGCUAUCUGCUCAUCUAUAUAACCGGCCGACCCGAUAUGCAACAACAGCGCGUCGUCUCUUGGCUGAGUCAGCACAACUUCCCACACGGUCUAAUCUCUUUUGCCGAUGGCCUUUCCACCGAUCCGCUAGGCCACAAAACGGCUUAUCUCAACAAUCUUGUCCAGAAUCAUGGAAUCUCAAUUACCGCUGCCUAUGGCAGCAGCAAGGAUAUUAGCGUCUACACUAAUGUGGGCAUGCGGCCAGAGCAGAUCUUCAUUGUGGGCAAGGUCAGCAAGAAGCUGCAGUCCAAUGCCACUGUCCUAAGCGAGGGCUAUGCCGCUCACCUGGCCGGUCUGCAGGUCGUGGGCGGCUCUCGGCCGGCCAAGGGGAACGCUCGCAUGGUGAUACCACGCACGUGCUUCAAUUUGCCCGGCCAGUCGGCCAAUCCUAGGCGCCGAAGGCUGCAUGAACAAACGGCGAAUUAAGUUUAAAAAGAAAAGCUGAAAAACUGUUCACAACAACAAUCUCUCACACGAUACUCACGAGUCACACACACACACUCUAUUGCCGUCUCACUCACUUUGAUGCCUGCGUUGCCGUUAUGAGCAAUGAUACUCGUAUUUAUAUGAAGAAAGAUAGACGCAAAGAAUUGGUGUUUAUUGUUAAGUUAAAUUUUUUCAUUUACUGCAUUGCCGUUACGUUUUAGCAAAUUAUUUUUAUUGAUCGGUGUUGUAUGUUCGACCAAAUCUGCAAAACCAAAACCAAACUAGUGCAUAAAAACCAAUUGAGAUUAUUCUACAACAAAAAGUUCAUUACUCAAUUCUCAAAUCAACUCUGUCUCAACUUUAACUCUGUCUCUCUUUUUCUAAACAUAAACCCGAACUUUUCUAUAAACAAACAAAAAAACAUUAAACACACACACACAUUCAAUCAAUCAAUCACUUACACACACACACACAUUAAUCUACACACGCUUGCAAUCGACAUGCGCAGCAAUGAGACGGGACUGUCAUCUCCGAUACGCAGCGGCUAUUUGAAGCGUAAGACCUAUCUGAGCCACCACUAAAAAGAUAAGAAGAGAUCGGGGUCUUUCAUCUCCUGAAAAACAAAAUGGAACAAUUGUGUGGAAGUGCGUGCAAGCCAACCCUCAAAAAAUGAACAAAAGAAGGAAAUAAUGGACAAAUGGAGGAAUCAAAUGAAAAUGCGAAUAAAAAUAAUGAAAAAGGAAGCUGCAGCAACAAAAGCAACUAUACAUGCAUAUGAAACACCACAUACAUACUAACAUACGUAUGUACAUAUGUAUGAUUAGUACAUACUUAUGUAUGUAUAUGCUAUAUACCUACUCUACUAUAUGUUGCGUUGAAUCAACAUGUGCUGCGAAUCUCCGUUAUAACAGCAACCGUUCCGUUCGAUAUUCAUAUGUACAUGCAUAGAUAUAUAGAUAAAGCAGACCCACAUAAGUAUAUAAUGUAUCUGUUAUGUACAUGUAUGUAGAUGAUACACAAACGUCUCACACAUACAUAUAAAAAUGCAAACCAAAUAAAAACCCCAACUAUUUACAUAUAUCUAGUGAGUGGAUCAGCAUCAGCAUUAGUGCAGUCCAACAUCAACAGCAUUGAUGAUGCCACAUACUACAUCUGUAUAUACAAAUAUAUUAUGCGCGAUAUAUAGAAAACUAUAUAUGUACAUAUACAUAUAAUAAUAAAAACAAACAGACAGACAAACUUGUACAACAUAUAAGCAAAGUCAAAUGUGUCACGCGGUACCUGGAAAGAAAGACUGUUUCCUCCUGUUGUUUGAUGGUUUUCCAAACCACAUAAAGAAACAAAACUAAACAAAACAAAACAAACAAAAACAAAAAAGUGUAUAUCUAUAUAUGUAUGUAAACAGAAAGUAUAUAAAGCGUAAAAUGUCUAACAGAAUUCUAUCUAUAUACAAACCAUAAACAUCUAAAACCGUUCAGCAUAUGAAAACGAACAAAGUUCAAUAAAAAGUGUAACCACAAAGAAGGUACAACUAAAGAACAAGCUUAAUAUCUGUAUAACAUAAAAAAUGAUGGUAAAACGUUGCAUUGAUUUGUGAAACGAAUGAUGAACUGAAGUGAUUAUCUUAUCCUUUAUGCGCAACUGUACCUGAGUGCCGCGCAUGCGUUGCAAAAUCAAAGGCAAAUUAAAUGCAUUUCUGAAACCAAUUUAAUGAAUAAAUAAAUUAAAACGUAAACUAAACAUAAUAGUGAAGCGAGUGGAAUUAAAAAAACCUAAACGGCUUCCGAAACAUAAACAUAAAUUAGAGCUCUAUUUCAGUGUGUGCGUUUAUAAGUAUUAUAAAGUUCAAAACUUUUCCUAACAAAACAAACUUCACGACAUCAAUGAAGAAACUAAAUUAUUCAAAAAAGAAAACUCUAAAAAAUUUUAUAAAUGUGAUAGUCUUUCGCUACUAAAGAUACAAAUGAAACGAAAAAAGAACAAACUAUAAUAAUAGGCCAAUCAAAUUGUUAUAUGCAUGCAUAUUGGGGUUCAAUUAAGAGAACAGAGCGCUGCAAACAUUCGUUAUUACCUUUGGAAUCUGUCAUCGUGUAAUAAAAUUCAAGUUUUGUUUGUUAAAUCGUAGCAUUUAGUGUAAGGUGAUGACAGCAAUCGAGUACGAGUAUUAAACUAUCAAUAUGCAAAAAAAGAGAAUAUAUUUAUGUGCUGAGAAACAAAAGUACCGAAAAUAUGAAUAUCAACUAGCCAGAACAGACCUGAGGAGCGGCUCAUUUGUGAUACACGAAAUUGUGGCAGCAGAAAUGUCAAAUGAAAAUACAGAGACACUAUUCAGAUAUGCACAAGCUAGUCUUAUACAUACAUAUAUAUAUUGCCCCAGAUCAACAGAACCAAAAAGAGAAGUAACCCACAUUUAGCGAAGCAAAGAACAGAACUCAUUUCCGAGCGACCUCUAACGCCUUAAGCUUAAACUAUUAUUUUAAAUAGCCAGUGUUCGAAAAUGCUUUGGUACCUGUUCCUGGGCACGCAGUUUCCAGCACUAUAUAAAACGCUGCUUAGGCAUUGCAACGGCACGUCCACAACUUCUCAUUAUUCUCAAUCCAAUCCUACAAAGACUUUCCCCAUGGGAAGACUAUCUAUCUUUAAGUAAAUAGCGAAGUUCAAGCACUUUUUGGUACCUCCAUGAACAAUCUGAAGUAAAUGCAUUACAAAUUAAGCAAAAAGCAAACGAGGAUUAAGUCUCUACGCCAGGCCAGUUAACUGAAAUCUACAUAAAAUGUCCCUUUCAAAAUAACAUAAAUAACGGUACAAAAGGAAAAAAGAAACAAAAAAUGGACCCGCAGAUAAAUAUUUAUAUACACAUAAAAAAUUAAAUUAAAUAUUUAAAGAUUGCGUUCGUUUACUACUCGUGUUGUAGUUAAGACUUGCUAUACUGAGAAAUCCUAAAAGCAAAUUGAAGAGUUUAAAAUGAAGAAACAAAGAAAACACACAACACACACAUUUAAAUAUAGGCAUACAUACAAACGUGCAUAUAUACAUAUAUAAAUAUAUACAUAUUAUAUUUAUACAUACGUACAUACAUAUAUUAACUAGAGAAACUGUAAGUUAAGAACCUCCUCCAAAGAGAAAUUAUUGAUAUUGAUAUUAGGCGAGUGAGGUGUUCCGAAAAGUCUUGCCCUGUGCAUACGUUCCUCUUUUGAAGUAAUAACUAACCUAUACUAAACAAAUAUAUGUAAACAUAUUGUUAUAUUCGGUGGGUGUUACGUAAGCCUUUCAUGUGGAUCACUGCUUUUUCCACUUCUAAGCCACAUACAUCGUUCAUAUGUGUGUAAUAAAUAUACAUACAUACUUUGCAUCGAUCUGCCAACUAUAUGUACGUGUAUGUAGAAAUGUUUACGAAUUUCCAAAUUUGUCAGCUGCUGGCUGCCUGUCUUGUAGGAUUCUAUAGAGAUUUUAGAAAUAUGGACCCAUUUUUCUCUGGCUUCUGCUUGAACACAUUCUUUUCAUAGUCUUAAAUAUAUACAUACAUAUGUAUGUACACAUGUGGAUAAAUCCGCUCAAUUUUGUUAAGAAGAUAUUUGGUUAGAAAGAUUUAAAUACAUAUAUAGUUAGCAUAAUUGGUUCCUGAACAGUGCGAGUGGCAGUUGUUAGAUUUGAAUUCUCUUCUCUCUACUUUUUGUAAUUCAAAAACAAAAUAUCAAAGUUGUGCAUGUAUAUAGAUAUGUAGCUACUAGCUAAUAAAAAUUGUUCAAACACUCACUGACAACUCAUAAACUAAAUAAAUAAACAAUGAAAUGAGUAAUUCAACAACAAAGGAAAUGCAGCGUAUUGAUAUUUUAGCCCACCAUUUAGCCCGGCAUUUCAGCUACAGAAGAAUACAUACAUACGUGUACAUAGUGGCAUAUGUACGUAUGUAAGUACGUAAACAAACAUAUGUACAUACAUGUGUAUGUAUGUAAACAUGUACGUAGUUACUAUAUGCAAGUUUAGCGGCAGUGAAAACGAAAUAAACAACUAAAGAGCGAUAUUAAAAACAAAUGCAUACAUACAUAUGUACAUACGCGCUAAUCUUUAAUAAUUAUGUACAUAUGUAUGUAUGUAUUUACAUAUACAUAAAUAGCGUAAUUAAGGUCAAAA